RNAcentral lists this unclassified non-coding RNA (164 nucleotides) under uncultured Talaromyces. Its description in RNAcentral is "sequence contains ITS2". The record is from RNAcentral. Lineage: Eukaryota; Fungi; Ascomycota; Eurotiomycetes; Eurotiales; Trichocomaceae.
CUGCCCUCAAGCACGGCUUGUGUGUUGGGUGUGGUCCCCUCCUUUUAGGGGGGACCUGCCCGAAAGGCAGCGGCGACGUCGCGUCGGGUCCUCGAGCGUAUGGGGCUUUGUCACUCGCUCGGGAGGGACCUGCGGGCGUUGGUCACCCAACUGUAUUUUUCCAC